GUGAGGAAUUUUCCGCAAUGGGCGAAAGCCUGACGGAGCAAUGCCGCGUGAAGGAUGAAGGCCUAUGGGUUGUAAACUUCUUUUCUCAGAAAAGAAUUAUGACGGUAUCUGAGGAAUAAGCAUCGGCUAACUCUGUGCCAGCAGCCGCGGUAAGACAGAGGAUGCAAGCGUUAUCCGGAAUGAUUGGGCGUAAAGCGUCUGUAGGUUGUUUAAAAAGUAUUCUGUCAAAGAUUAGGGCUUAACCCUAGAUAGGCAGAAUAAACUUUUAAGCUAGAGUUUGGUAGAGGCAGAGGGAAUUCCCGGUGGAGCGGUGAGAUGCGUAGAUAUCGGGAGGAACACCAAAGGCGAAGGCACUCUGCUGGGCCAAUACUAACACUGAGAGACGAAAGCGAGGGGAGCAAAUGGGAUUAGAAACCCGAGUAGUCC
RNAcentral lists this ribosomal RNA (426 nucleotides) under uncultured bacterium. RNAcentral describes it as "partial 16S ribosomal RNA". It matches the Rfam family "Bacterial small subunit ribosomal RNA", at positions 354 to 796 of the family's 1533-position model. The record is from RNAcentral.